RNAcentral lists this long non-coding RNA (528 nucleotides) under Homo sapiens (human). Its description in RNAcentral is "HSALNT0256802". Lineage: Eukaryota; Metazoa; Chordata; Mammalia; Primates; Hominidae. The record is from RNAcentral.
GAGAGCAGGAGUCUGCGAUCUCCAGUUUGCUGAGCCCUCUCUCUCAGUGUAACACACCUGGGCUGACCACAGCAGCUUCUCUGCUGCCAAAUUCCCAAAAGUGGACGAAGCUCACUCCCCACAAAGUUUCUAACACUCCCCACUUUGGGCCAGACACUGUCUUCCAUAUCACCACCACCCCCACCUGGGUUGUCUUUAAGAGGCUGUGGCCUUCCCAGGGACGCAACUCAAUGGGCAUGUAUUGAAUGGGUCUGACCCUGGUCCGGGCCAGAAGGAAGUGAGAGGCAAGGCGCAGCUGCGAAGGCCAAGCCCAUGCUCCCGCCACGCAGUGGACUCCGUGGGUAUUCUACAACAGAUAACUGCCAUGUGUCAGGCUGGUCAACAUUACCUCAUUUGACAUGCCCCAAGAUCUUCACCAGCUAGGAUGACAAACGGGGAAAUCAAGGCUCAGGGUCAGCUCAACCUGGUACCAGUGGGACCUUCAAAGUCCAGCCCUUGGCAAACCUCAGCGGCCCCCGACUCCUACUC